This 524-nucleotide ribosomal RNA is filed under the name uncultured bacterium. RNAcentral's name for it is "partial 16S ribosomal RNA". It matches the Rfam family "Bacterial small subunit ribosomal RNA", at positions 28 to 523 of the family's 1533-position model. The record is from RNAcentral.
GACGAACGCUGGCGGCGUGCCUAAUACAUGCAAGUCGAGCGCAGGAAAUCGACGGAACCCUUCGGGGGGAAGUCGACGGAAUGAGCGGCGGACGGGUGAGUAACACGUAAAGAACCUGCCCUCAGGUCUGGGAUAACCACGAGAAAUCGGGGCUAAUACCGGAUGGGUCAUCGGACCGCAUGGUCCGAGGAUGAAAGGCGCUUCGGCGUCGCCUGGGGAUGGCUUUGCGGUGCAUUAGCUAGUUGGUGGGGUAAUGGCCCACCAAGGCGACGAUGAAUAGCCGACCGGAGGGGGUGAUCGGCCAGACUGGGACUGAGAAACGGCCCAGACUCCUACGGGAGGCAGCAGUAGGGAAUCUUCCACAAUGGACGAAAGUCUGAUGGAGCAACGCCGCGUGAACGAUGAAGGCCUUCGGGUCGUAAAGUUCUGUUGUAAGGGAAGAACAAGUGCCGCAGGCAAUAGCGGCACCUUGACGGUACCUUGCGAGAAAGCCACGGCUAACUACGUGCCAGCAGCCGCCGUAA